CAACCCUCGAGCCCCUCCGGGGGGUCGGCGUUGGGGAUCGGCUCACACCUGCCGGCCCCGAAAUCCAGUGGCGGACUCGCCGCGGCCUCCCCUGCGCAGUAGCUUUGCACACUCGCAACGGGAGCGCGGCGCGCCCACGGCCGUAAAACGCCCCAAACUUCUGAAAGG
RNAcentral lists this unclassified non-coding RNA (168 nucleotides) under uncultured Trichoderma. RNAcentral describes it as "sequence contains ITS2". Lineage: Eukaryota; Fungi; Ascomycota; Sordariomycetes; Hypocreales; Hypocreaceae. The record is from RNAcentral.